RNAcentral lists this long non-coding RNA (1213 nucleotides) under Medicago truncatula (barrel medic). RNAcentral describes it as "lncRNA gene46189". Lineage: Eukaryota; Viridiplantae; Streptophyta; Magnoliopsida; Fabales; Fabaceae. The record is from RNAcentral.
UGCUCCAACUCCUUGAUGAUAAAUGAUCAGUUUCUCCAUUGGUAGGAACUGAAUGGAAACACUCAAAACAGCACCUGGCUUACAAGGCUUUCCAUUGCUAUUAAGGAUGGGGUAGGUCCCUUGUACUUUUUCACCCGAGUAUAAUUGUUCGACCGGAAUCGCUACAGUACCAAUAAGCUGUGAACCUACCACAUCACUAUCCUUAACAACAAAAUGCACUUCAGAAGCAUGAUGUGCAACAGGAACAUGAAAGUGUUGCUCCCAAACAGGAUUUUCGCUAUUGCUAAUCACAAAAGUCCUACCAACUACAGCAUUUGAUAAAGAAAUAGACACAUAAGGAUCACUAGUAAUCUUCCUAGUCAUUGUUCCCUCAAUCUUAUUACCCACAUUACCAGGAAAUUUACCAAACACAUCCCCUAAAGUCUUAUGAAACAUAUCCAUAUUUGGAAGAUUCUUAGCACUAUGAACACAAAUAUCUAAAUUACCAUGCAAGAGCAAAUAUUUCAAUGACCCUUUAUACUGAGCUGGAACAAUCUGCAAACUCUGGCUAUGCACCGAUUCAUCAUUCGAACCGGGAUAAGCUGAAAGAUUGGGUGAACCCCCCAAACCAGAGUAAGAAUGUUCAUAACCUGAAAAAGAAUUACUACUAGAAUGACCAUAAAACUCCUCUUUUUUCCCUUCAUUUAAAGCUGAAUAGGAAUGUGUCAUUACUGGUGCACUUGGCUGAUUAUCAGAUAUCUGAACAUUGCUCAUAAGAUCAUUCAAAUGAGGGUAAGGAGAACUAGGAGGGUGUGAACCAUCACUAAUUGGAGGGGUAUUGUUGGUAAGGGGGGUAAGCAGAACUAUGAUGAGGGUUUGAACCAUCAUUGAUUGGAGGGUAUUGUUGGUAAGGGUAAGGAUAAACAUGAGAUGGUUGAGAAGUAGGUAACUCUAAAGGGUUUGGUUGAUAAGGGUGGAAGGAAUGUGAAGAAUUUGGUGGAUAUGAUUCAUAUGGAUAAGGAGAAGAUACUGGUGAAGGUGCAUAUGGAUCAUGAGAUGGAUUUGGAGGAGGGUAUGGAUAUGGAGGAUAUGCAUAAGGGUUUGGAUAUCCAUAUGGAGGUGCAGAACCAUGAUUGUCCAUGAAUCAAAACUCAAAAUUGAAUGAAUUCAAAGCUAUUCUUUCACACAAUUGAUUAUGCAAAACUAUUCAAAAUUUUACCUUUGUUGCAUAUGC